CAACUGGCCCGUCCCUUCCUUGUCAGAGUAGAGGUUCUGCCCUUUGCUUUCGGUGGGCGUGGAGAUGCCCUUGCUUGAGAAGUCAGCAGUCUUCUCUUAUCCGUGCUCUUGCGCAGUCGGGUUGGGCUGGAGUCGUGGAUGCCGAGUUCUGUGAGGUGGUCAUGCUGCAGGCUGGGAGCUCAGGCCAGGAAUCCAGAAGAGGGACCUUCUUCAUGCAGGAUGUAUGAAAAGGCUGCAGGAAACUGCGGGCUGCAGAGAGCUCUGCGAGUGGUAGGCUGAAUCAGAGGGCCAAGUGGGCCUGAGGAGCAGAAGCCUCGCCUCCCAGCUGCCCAGGGCAGCCCUUGGCAAGAACCCAGGCAGGCAGGGACAAUGGGAGGAAUGGAGAAUGGGCAAAGCCCAGCUGUGGGGGGUGGGGGGGGUGGGGUCCAAGGUCAGGACUCCAGCUCUGCAGGCAUCCAGGAACUACUUAAGAUACAGGGGUUCUGUUUGUGAGGCUGAGGCUGUCGGGCCUGGGCACAGUGUGGCCUGGGCCUUGGGGCAUGGCGGGGAGAAGGCCUGGUCCUGGGGUGGAUAAGUGGCCUGGAGCAGGGGUCUGGGUGUGGAAGCCAGGACCUGAAGGCCCAGCUGUAACGGAGGUUACAAAGCUGUGUUAUGGAAGGCCCCAGGAGUUGGGUAGGUUUCCUGGUUGAGAAGCUUGGAGGGGCCUGUUUGCAAAACAUCUGGAGGAUGUGUGUCGCUGUCCAGUCAAGCUGGAAAGCAUCCCACGUGGCUCAUGGGUCGGGGCGUAGCAGCACUGACCACAGGGGAGACACAGGGACACCCAGACUCUGUCCUUGCGGUGACAAGAGAAUUGUCUUCAGGAAAAGAACACCAGAAGCUCACACACACCAGAUUCUUAAUGGGCCAGCAUGGUUCAGGAAGGUGUUGAGUCUUGAUGGACCCAAGAGCCAGGACUCUGGCAGGAGAACGGAAUCCCUGAUGGAUUCAGACAGAGCAGUAGGAUCCUGCUGGGAGUGGGUUUGCCUGGGUACCAAAGCAAACUUUUAACCAAGUAGGUCCCUGGGCCUCUGCUUGACCCCACUGACCCCAUGUGGCAGAAGGUAAGAGCUCAGGCCCUGGAGUCACACUGAUCUGAGUUCAAUUCCUCAUUCUACCACUCACCAUGCUGUAAGACCUUGGACAAGUUACUUCAUCCCUCUGAACCUCAGUUUCUUCAUUUACAAAAUGGGUGUAGCACUAUUUACCUCACAAAAGUGUUGAGGAGUAGUCCAUCUUGAGAAGGCUCUGACAGUUGGGUCAUGGAGAAGACCAGUAACCAGUGAUAACUGUGGCAGGAGGGGUCUGGGUGGGUAGACACUGACGGUUCUGCAUCUAGGAGGCUCUAGAGAGCAGAAUAUUCACUGCAUUCCCUCCAUGCUCCCCCCCUAAACACACAGGCUGGGAUGUCAGAGCUGGAAGGACCUCAGAGACCACUCAAGGUGGUCAACCAGCUUCUCAGAGGCCAGGCCGUGACUGGAGUCAUGCCCUCCUGGCUUGGUAGGACUCAUUCUGCCAAAUACUCCAGUGAUUAGAGCAUGGCCAUCAGCUCUAGAGUCCACCAAGUCUGCAUUCAAAUCCCUAGCUCUACCACUCAGUCACCUUGCCUCUCUAAUCCUGUUCUUUCAUCCCUAAAAUGAGGAUAAUACUGAUCCACACCUUGGAGUUGUGCUGGCCAAUAUGGUGGCCACUUACUAUGUGUAGCAUUUAACUAUAAUUAAAAUUAAAUAAAAUUAAAAUGAAUAAAGUUCACGUUCUCAGUUGCACUGGCUGUGUUUCAGAUGCUCAAUAGCUGCAUGUGGCUGGUGACCACUGUAUUGGACAAUGCAGACAUAGAAUAUUUCCAUCACUGCAGGAAGUUCUGUGGGGUUGAAGAUGAGAUUGCUGACCUGCUACUGGUCUCAUUCUUCCACAUGGACCAAGGAGCAGAGGAAGCCAGUCUGCAAUAUGGAGAAGAAUGAAGCAGAUGCAGUCAUGGCUUCUGAGAGCAAGGCUGGGAGUGGCUGCCUGGAUCCCGGAAGGCUGUCACUUUCUGCAUGUACUUCCUGUUCUUGGGUUCUGUGAGACACCCUCUAGCUUCUGCAUAUACAUUUUAAGUGACUAUUUCUAAAGUUGGGAAAUUAAGAGUAGCUGCUGAUUCUAAAGAGAAGCUACAUGAAUUUGGAACUUUUGUGCAUUACCAGUGAGUUUACUGGAGGUAAUCAAGCUGGACCUCACUUGGAGAUGUCAUAAAGAAAUGCCAACACUUGGUGAGCAGACGCUUAAGUAAAGAAGGAAGCCAUAGGAGUGGGUAAGAUCUCCCAGAGAGAAAGUGUGGAGAGAAGUCACAGGAACCUUGCAGAACAACCACAUUUAGAGAUUAAUUGGAAGGUGUAAGGGCAAAGAGUGAGUGAUUUACCAGAGAAUUGGGGAAGCUAGGAUGCUAGUGUCCAAAGAUUCCAAGGGAAGAGCAAAUUCAAGGAUCUUAACACACAAGGAAACACCGGUGACUUUGGGCAGGCUUUGGGGUUGGUUGAGUGAGAAGCUCGAUGAUGUCACUUAGAACCCAGGUUCUUUCUACUUCUCUGCUCUGCUGCACUUGGCACUAGCUUCAUCUAAGGGUUGACUCCUCCCUUGGUUGAGAAAUAACUGCCAGUAAUGGGCAUGGUGGAAGAAAGAUAGGGAAUGUUCUCCCAGCCAUGGACUCUAAACUUUGCUCUUCAAUCUGAUUGGACCACUUCAGAUCAUGUGCACAUCUCUAGGCCAGUAAGGUUCACCAGAUAAACGCCAUUUACUGACCGGCUUAGACAAGUGAGGAGCUACUCCUUAAACUGGAGGUGGGAUCAGCAUCCCCUGAAGUAUAGAGGAUUGUGCUCCACCUGAACAUGCUCAGGGUUCUGUUGGAGAGGAAGAAAGGGGAUUGGAAUCAUCAGAGGCAAUGAACAGUCCCCCACAUGUGGCCCACAAGGCCUGCAUGAGCUGGUCCUGCCUCACCCAGUUCUUGCUGUCUGUGUUUUGUAAAGUUCUUAGAAUGGAGUAGGUUUCUUUCGCCCUCAGACCUUCUCAUACACUGAUCCUUCUGUGGGGAAUAGUCUCCAUGAUAUUUGUUGCCUAAUUCUUGUUCUUAUAUUGUCUCACUCAAAUGUCAUUCUUUGAAGAGAACUUUCCAAUCCUCCUAAACUAAAUUGGGUUCCCCUGCCCCCACCUCCCACUCGUGUCCCUAUUGGAAUCUAAUUUCAAGUUGUAAUUAUGUUUCUAUUGUGUUCAUUUGUAGCUCUAUGGGGCAGGCGCCAUGUUUGUUCUGCUCACCAAGGAAUCCUCAGAGGUUGGCGCACAGCAGAUGCUCAAGAAAUAUCUGACUUUCAGAUAUCCCAGGCUUCAAAAUCCACUAAGAUUUCAAAAAGAAAAUUUCAAAGGGAGGAAGCAGCAGUGGUCUGCUCUGAUAACUUGUUUAUCAGUUUACUUU
Equus caballus (horse) is the source of this 3481-nucleotide long non-coding RNA. Lineage: Eukaryota; Metazoa; Chordata; Mammalia; Perissodactyla; Equidae. The record is from Ensembl.